CAUUAGAGUUUGAUCCUGGCUCAGAAUGAACGCUGGCGGCGUGCCUAACACAUGCACCUCGAGCGAGAAAGCUCCUUCGGGAGUGAGUACAGCGGCGGACGGGUGAGUAACACGUAAGAAUCUGCCCUAUAGUGAGGAAUACCCUUGAGAAAUUGAGGUUAAUACUGCGUAAGUCCCUGCGGGGAGAAAGGCGUCUUUUAUGUCGCCGCUAUAGGAUGAGCUUGCGGACUAUCAGCUUGUUGGUGAGGUAAAGGCUCACCAAGGCUAUGACGGUUAACCGGCCUGAGAGGGUGUACGGUCACAUAGGCACUGAGAUACGGGCCUGACUCCUACGGGAGGCAGCAGUGGGGAAUAUUGCGCAAUGGGCGAAAGCCUGACGCAGCGACGCCGCGUGGAGGAUGAAGGUCUUAAGAUUGUAAACUCCUGUCAGAUGGGACGAAAGGUUCAUGUUUAAUAAACGUGGAAUAUGACGGUACCAUCAGAGGAAGCACCGGCUAACUUCGUGCCAGCAGCCGCGGUAAUACGAAAGGUGCGAGCGUUAUUCGGAAUCACUGGGCGUAAAGGGUGCGUAGACGGUAUGUUAAGUUUGUUGUUAAGGCUCCGGCCUAACUGAAGUAUUGCCAUGAAAACUGGCGUGCUAAAGGGUGAAAAAGAGAAAUGGAAUUCCCGGAUUACCGGUAAAAUGCGUGGAUCCCGGGAGGAACACCAAUUGGCAAAGGAGCCUUUUUGGCUCAUUCCUGACGUUUAGGCCCAAAACCGGGGGAACCACCACGAUUAAAUCCCUGGUUAUCCCCCCCCGAACCGAUAUUCCUAAAAGGUGGUUCCCCCUACCUGGAUAGUCGCCUAACCUCAU
This 853-nucleotide ribosomal RNA is filed under the name uncultured Candidatus Babelota bacterium. RNAcentral's name for it is "bacterial SSU rRNA". It matches the Rfam family "Bacterial small subunit ribosomal RNA", at positions 9 to 873 of the family's 1533-position model. The record is from RNAcentral.